Molecule: RNA transcript, 2102 nt
Organism: Gadus chalcogrammus (walleye pollock)
Lineage: Eukaryota; Metazoa; Chordata; Actinopteri; Gadiformes; Gadidae
Exons: 5
Source: RefSeq, a predicted model, not a curated record
AUGCCACCAACAGAACUCCUCUCCCUUUCCAACAGCUACGGCAUGCUCAACAGCUUUGGUUGAAAACUUCCUCCACCACUGGCUGGGUGUGAGGGUUCGUCAAUCUGGUCCGUCGGGAAGUACACAGAAAGAAUUUAAUGUUUUGUUUUUGUGAUGAAGUGUUUACCAGUGAGAAUGGGAAUGUCCCCAGAACAAAUCGCUGGGCUACGAUGACACCUGCCAACCUUCUGGCCAUCGAGACUUUACUUUCAUCGUUAAUAUUAUAUAUUUUUGAUUAUUGUUAUGAGUAUUCAUAUUAGUCUUUAUAUUUGAACACCCAUCGGACAGGGAAAACUACAAUGGCAUUCCUCUCCGGGCUCGGAAGAACUUAUUUUUCUCCUGGUCUCUUUAGGAUGACCCGCGCUAUCUUGUUCAUCCUGGGGAUCUUUGUGUGUCUUGCACCGAUACUGGAGGUCAACAGCACACAGGCACUCUACAACAAGGAUCGUUCCCUGAAGGAUGAGCUCUACCAGACACUGAAGGAGUUUACAACUCAAAUACGCCUCCAUUAUGUUGUUCUCGAGGAGUUGUUCACGAUUUGGAAGAACUUCUUGUUCUCCUGGUCUAUUUAGGAUGACCCGCACUGUCUUGUCCAUCCUGGUGAUGUUUGUGUGUCUUGCACCAAUGCAGGAGGUAUACAGCACACAGGAUGACAUAAAGAAGAAGAUUCAAGCUUUGGAAUUGAAGGCCAAUUCCCUGAAGGAUUACUGCAAUACUAAGAAGGAGGCAAUCUUUAAAAUGUUGGAAAAGGACGAUCAGUCACUUGACGCUGCAUUGGCCAAAGCAGAAAAACGCGAGGGGCCCGUGUUUGCAGCAAUAAAGGACAAACUUGAGAUGGCGAAGGAGUCGAACUCUGAACGAAAAGCUCAAUUGCAGCACUUCACUCAUGUCUGUGACCUCAGUUGUGAGCACAUCCAGAAGGAAAUCAUGAGACUCAAAGACUUAGUUAAUGAACCCGAGGUGAUCAAAAAUGUAUUAUAAUUAUUACUCGUUAACAUUAGCAUUAGUUGAUGCAUUAGUGAGCAUUAUUAUAUAGCAUUAGCAUAGGGGUUAGCGUCGGUGUGUUCUUCAUCGCUGAUGCGUCACUGCGUCACACACAGGAUGAUGGAGGGUGGAACCAGUUGGCCCGUGUCGCCUGUGUAGUUUAGAUUUCUGACUGCUUUAUUGGUUAGUUUUUGUGGUUGUAUCAAGGUUUAACUGAGUGAACAUCUGUACAAAUGUCAUGAUAUUUUUUUUUGUUUUGUUUUUUGGUCUUUCUUUACACAAUAGCUGUUCUGUCUGCCUUUGUAUACAGAUCUCGCAAACCUUCCUUUAUUACUGGUUGCAUUUAAAACACUGGUUAAAACAUUUUUGUCAUAUCUUGAUAUUCUUAUUUGAAUAGAACAGGGACAAACACAGAAAGCAAGCCCCCCUUCUGAGGCUGAAGUGUGCACGUUUAACUUGAUUGUGCCCCUGCCCCACCCAGAGACCAGAGCACUGCCACUGCAAGGCCAGUGGGGUGUUGAGGGGCGUAACAAUGCCCACAGAUAGGGCCGCCAUUUUUUCAUAAUAAUAACAGGACCGACCUUACGUCGUGACGUCAGGAGCGACGUUGAAUGGCAUCGACCCUUUCAGAUGGCAACGACCGUUUACGAAAGGGAAAUCUGCGUCGGCUACUCACACGUCCAGGUGAAACGCGAUGGGCGUCUUUGAAGGUCCGUGGAAGUCCGUGAGAGUACUGGGAAAGUCCGUGGAAGUCCGUGAAAGUCCUGAGGAAGGCAGUGGAAAGGACACAGGCGCUCCUCACUUCUUGUCGCGUGAUUUCCUUCGCCCGAGCCCGGUCAGCAAACCCGCGUGGUCACACCCGCUAUCUUGUGCGGCGGUCCCUCGGAAACCCCGGGGCAGUAGCGUCGCUAGCUGCGUUGGUUAGCAGGCCACUGUUCAGCUACUUUUGUCAAUUAAGUGACCGGGUCGUAUGUGACCCGGUCCGGUGGAGCUUUCAAGUUUGUGUUGAACUUUGUCCUCUUGUUAUGCGGAUAUGUCAUCCAACAAUACUUCACUCCCCGAGUAAAACAUGUGCUCUC